ACCAAGUGAUCUACCCAUGUCCAGGUUGAAGGUGCGGUAAAACGCACUGGAGGACCGAACCAGGGCACGUUGAAAAGUGCUUGGAUGAGGUGUGGGUAGCGGAGAAAUUCCAAUCGAACUUGGAGAUAGCUGGUUCUCUCCGAAAUAGCUUUAGGGCUAGCCUCGGAAGUGAGAAUCGUGGAGGUAGAGCACUGUUUGGACUAGGGGCCCAUCUCGGGUUACCGAAUUCAGAUAAACUCCGAAUGCCAUGUAUUUAUAUCCGGGAGUCAGACUGCGAGUGAUAAGAUCCGUAGUCGAAAGGGAAACAGCCCAGACCACCAGCUAAGGUCCCAAAAUAUCUGUUAAGUGGAAAAGGAUGUGGGGUUGCACAGACAACUAGGAUGUUGGCUUAGAAGCAGCCAUCAUUCAAAGAGUGCGUAAUAGCUCACUAGUCGAGUGACCCUGCGCCGAAAAUGUAACGGGGCUAAACAGAUUACCGAAGCUGUGGAUUGGACCUAAUGGUCCAGUGGUAGGAGAGCGUUCUAAGGGCGGUGAAGCAUGACCGUAAGGACAUGUGGAGCGCUUAGAAGUGAGAAUGCCGGUAUGAGUAGCGAAAGACGGGUGAGAAUCCCGUCCACCGAAUAACUAAGGUUUCCUGGGGAAGGCUCGUCCUCCCAGGGUUAGUCGGGACCUAAGGCGAGGCCGAUAGGCGUAGUCGAUGGACAACAGGUUGAUAUUCCUGUACUUCUAUAAAUCGUUUGAGCAAUGGAGGGACGCAGGAGGCUAAGAAAAGCGUACGACUGGAAGUGUACGCCCAAGCAGUGAGUCGGCUGAUGAGUCAAAUGCUUAUCACGGAUGCGACAAGCUGUAACGGGGAGGGAAGUUUAGUACCGAAGUUUCUGAUGUCACACUGCCGAGAAAAGCUUCUAGCAAGAUUUAUAGGACCCGUACCGCAAACCGACACAGGUAGUUGAGGAGAGAAUCCUAAGGUGAGCGAGCGAACUCUCGUUAAGGAACUCGGCAAAAUGACCCCGUAACUUCGGGAGAAGGGGUGCUGGUAGCAAUACCAGCCGCAGUGAAUAGGCCCAGGCGACUGUUUAUCAAAAACACAGGUCUCUGCAAAAUCGAAAGAUGACGUAUAGGGGCUGACGCCUGCCCGGUGCUGGAAGGUUAAGAGGAGAGGUUAGCGCAAGCGAAGCUUUGAAUUGAAGCCCCAGUAAACGGCGGCCGUAACUAUAACGGUCCUAAGGUAGCGAAAUUCCUUGUCGGGUAAGUUCC
Molecule: ribosomal RNA, 1257 nt
Filed under: Streptococcus pneumoniae
Lineage: Bacteria; Bacillati; Bacillota; Bacilli; Lactobacillales; Streptococcaceae
Description: partial 23S ribosomal RNA
Rfam family: Bacterial large subunit ribosomal RNA
Source: RNAcentral